CGUUCCCGGGCCUUGUACACACCGCCCGUCACAUCACGAAAGUGGAUUGUACUAGAAGUCCGUAAUCAAACAGGCCCAAGGUAUGAUUCAUGAUUGGGGUG
RNAcentral lists this ribosomal RNA (101 nucleotides) under uncultured bacterium. RNAcentral's name for it is "partial 16S ribosomal RNA". It matches the Rfam family "Bacterial small subunit ribosomal RNA", at positions 1369 to 1482 of the family's 1533-position model. The record is from RNAcentral.